AAUUGCCGAGGUCCUCUUCUAGGAUUGGUUGUCCACUCAUAACCAUAAGAUAAUUAAAACGGGGGGGGGCAGGGUAAAAAAAAAACCCUUUUAUCAGCCAUAGGUUAAUGCAAGUGUUUAACAGAUGCUUCGCUAUUAAAAUAUUUCCCCCCAAUACUGAAGAAUCUUAAACCAGGCUAGAGCGCCAGCGCUCCUCUGACCCGGCACACUUUGGCAAAGUUGCAGUGGCCUGUUUGCUUAGGCACUGAAGUGGAUGACCCAAGUUAGGAUGACAACUUGCAGAGAACGCGGAUGAGACCUUCAGUUUGUGCCCACACUCAUUUGCAGCAACCCUAACAGAGAUUGCGAAGAUUUUCAAAGUGGGGCACCUCGAUUUCUCGAAUCUGUGGUGUGGCGAAUAUCCGUGUUCCUCCUGCUUAACUAGCCUGUUUGGCAGGUCUGAUUCUAUUUAUUCUAAAGACAGAGUUGGAGAUGGGCUACCAUUGGUGUUGAUUGAGAUGACAAGCAGUCACCUGAGCCCAUACAGCUGGGUUCACAGAUGUGGCUAGUCUUGCUAGCCAGCUCGCACUGUGGACAUUCUAGGGAACUGACUGCAGUCCUCAUGCUUGGAGUCAAACACUUUAACCACUGCACACGUUUAUGUAAUAGGAUUGACAUAUGAGAAUCAGAGAAAUGAAUGAAAGAUUAGAGUGGGAGAAAGUGCUUGCUGCCAAGCUUGAUGACCUAAAUUGAAUACCUGGAACCUACACGACAGAAAGAGAGAGCUGACUGCUGAAAGAUGUCCUCAGAUCUUCACAUGUGCACAGUGGCACCUAUCCAACCAUGCACAUAGUAUAUUAAAAAUUAUUUUUUAAAAAA
RNAcentral lists this long non-coding RNA (858 nucleotides) under Mus musculus (house mouse). Its description in RNAcentral is "Hand2, opposite strand 1". Lineage: Eukaryota; Metazoa; Chordata; Mammalia; Rodentia; Muridae. The record is from RNAcentral.